Molecule: long non-coding RNA, 655 nt
Filed under: Anas platyrhynchos platyrhynchos (common mallard)
Lineage: Eukaryota; Metazoa; Chordata; Aves; Anseriformes; Anatidae
Description: lncRNA (ENSAPLG00000030534.1)
Source: RNAcentral
AAAAUAUUUAAAAGACUGCAUGUAACAGGUCAGGAAAGAUCAUAAUUUUACUCAUAUCUUUACUCAUAUAAAUGCACUUACAUAGUUUCUCAACAACCAAUGAUUAUGUGUUGCUGCUGACUCAAGCCUUCAAAGUUUUCCAUGAUUAUGAAAGUAGUAAAUAAAAACACAGAAGACAGAGGAAGGAAAAGUAAAUGUAAAAUCUCCAAGGACAAGAAAUACCACGUGAAUGGUUACCUUUCUUGCUCAGAGCAACUCUUCAGAUCAUGGAUGUCCACGCAUGCCCGUGCUUCAUACACAGAAACACAUAUAUGAACACACACACACAAACACAGAAGUGACCCAAAUGCAAGUUUCAAACAUGCUAAUGAUAUGGAGAGAGAGUGAAGAGCUAUCAUGUAGAAAAGAAUGGUGUGAAUUGCAGAAGACGAACACUCAGCAUUUUUGCCUCUGAAAGCUGCAUGUGCUACAGACACUUUGGAAAUGACUUGUGCUCCCUAAACAUGAGAUAGAAGCUCUACACACUUAAAAAAAAAAUUAAAAACUACAUAAGAAAAUGGAUACUAUGGGUCAUUGUGUCAAAAAGUCUUCUUGAAUGACUAUACUCUCCACUUACUCUGUUUGGUUAUAUUGCACUAUGUACCUGGGACUUUUC